CAAAAUCUCAUAGCUAGGGUUUUUUUUUUUUUUUUUUUUUUUGCUUCGAAUCGGGGCAAUAGAGAGGGUCUAAUCGACUCUUGGGUUCGUUCGUUCAGUGCGGUUUGUACUGUUAGGGUUAGGGAUAGGGUUUAUUGAUGGGAACGGAGAGGAAGAGGAAGGUGAGCUUGUUCGACGUGGUGGACGAGUCGAAGAUCGCCAAAAUCAACGGCGGCGCCUUCUCGUCCUCGGCGGCGGCGAUGAGCAACAGUGUUAGUAUUAUUGGCGGAGGUAAUAGCAGCAACCCCGCGAUCAAUAGCUGGACGGGGAGGCCGUACUCGCAGAGGUACUAUGAGAUUUUGGAGAAGCGGAGAGGCUUGCCUGUUUGGCACCAGAAAGAAGAGUUCUUGCAAGUUCUCAAGGCUAACCAGACUCUCAUCCUCGUCGGUGAGACUGGUAGUGGCAAAACCACUCAGAUUCCCCAGUUCGUUUUGGAAGCAAUUGAUUUAGAAACUCCAGAUAAGCGCAGGAAGAUGAUGAUUGCGUGCACCCAGCCUCGUAGGGUGGCUGCUAUGUCUGUUUCUCGUCGUGUUGCUGAAGAGAUGGAUGUAACUAUCGGAGAAGAGGUUGGUUAUAGUAUCCGUUUUGAAGACUGCAGUAGUGCAAGAACAGUUUUGAAGUAUUUAACAGAUGGUAUGCUUUUAAGAGAAGCGAUGACAGAUCCGCUUUUGGAACGCUACAAGGUCAUAAUUCUUGAUGAGGCUCACGAAAGAACAUUGGCAACUGAUGUUCUGUUUGGACUUCUGAAGGAAGUGUUGAAAAAUAGACCUGACCUGAAGCUAGUUGUAAUGAGUGCUACUCUUGAGGCUGAAAAAUUUCAGGGUUAUUUUUUUCAAGCACCACUUAUGAAAGUUCCUGGGAGGCUUCAUCCGGUGGAAAUAUUUUACACUGAAGAGCCUGAAAGGGACUACCUGGAGGCAGCAAUCCGAACUGUUGUGCAAAUUCAUAUGUGUGAAACUCCUGGAGAUAUACUUGUGUUUCUCACUGGUGAGGAGGAGAUAGAAGAUGCAUGCCGAAAAAUAAAUAAAGAAGUUGCAAAUAUGGGUGACCAGGUGGGACCUGUCAAAGUAGUGCCUUUGUAUUCUACCCUUCCUCCGGCUAUGCAGCAGAAGAUAUUCGAGCCAGCUCCACCUCCUGUGAAAGAGGGUGGCCCUGCUGGAAGGAAGAUUGUGGUGUCAACAAACAUUGCUGAAACUUCUUUGACCAUUGAUGGUAUAGUAUAUGUAAUUGACCCUGGGUUUGCAAAACAAAAAGUUUAUAACCCACGAGUGCGUGUGGAAUCAUUGUUGGUAUCUCCGAUCUCUAAGGCUAGUGCACACCAGAGAUCAGGGCGUGCUGGAAGAACUCAGCCUGGAAAAUGCUUUAGACUUUACACUGAGAAAAGUUUCCAGAAUGAUCUUCAACCACAGACCUAUCCAGAAAUAUUAAGAUCAAACCUUGCAAAUACGGUUCUUACUUUGAAGAAACUGGGAAUAGAUGAUCUAGUGCAUUUUGAUUUUAUGGAUCCCCCUGCUCCAGAGACAUUGAUGCGGGCUUUAGAGGUUUUGAAUUACCUGGGAGCGUUAGAUGAUGAUGGAAAUCUGACAAAGCUGGGCGAAAUUAUGAGUGAAUUUCCAUUGGAUCCUCAGAUGUCAAAGAUGCUCGUUGUUAGCCCUGAGUUCAACUGUUCAAAUGAAAUUCUAUCAGUUUCUGCCAUGCUUUCAGAUAGUUGCAGUUUCUCAGUAUUCUCUCAUGAAGAAAAUGGUAUCGUCUCGCCUCUAUGCAUCUGCUGACCUCCGUGGGCCUCCUCUGUGAUAACCAAUUUCUUUCUUUAGUACCCAAUUGCUUUGUCCGGCCUAGGGAGGCUCAGAAAGCUGCUGAUGAAGCAAAAGCUAGGUUUGGGCACAUCGAUGGAGAUCACCUCACGCUCUUGAAUGUAUACCAUGCAUACAAGCAAAACAAUGAGGACCCAUCAUGGUGCUAUGAGAACUUCGUCAACCAAAGGGCGUUGAAGGCCGCUGAUAAUGUUAGACAACAGCUCGUGCGUAUCAUGGCCAGGUUUAACCUCAAAUUGUGCAGCACUGAUUUCAACAGCCGUGAUUACUACAUCAACAUAAGGAAGGCUAUGCUAGCAGGUUAUUUCAUGCAGGUAGCUCACCUGGAACGUACUGGACACUACUUGACAGUGAAGGACAACCAAGUGGUGCACUUGCAUCCAUCGAAUUGCUUGGAUCACAAGCCGGAGUGGGUCAUCUAUAAUGAAUAUGUUCUAACAAGCAGGAAUUUCAUUCGGACGGUGACAGAUAUUCGUGGUGAAUGGAUAAUUGAUAUAGCACCACAUUAUUAUGAUCUGACGAACUUCCCGCAGUGUGAGGCUAAGCGUGUUCUUGAGAAGCUUUACAAGAAGCGGGAGAAGGAGAGGGAGGAGAGCAGGAACAGAAAGUGAUAAUAUUUUCAGCUUUGGCAUCGUUCAACUCCUUGUUUGCCUUUUCUACAACGGAAAGGAGGAGCCAUUUCCUGAGAUCUCAAUUCUUUCAUUAUAUUAGCCAUUGUGGAACUCUCAGGAGGACCAGCUUGGCAGUGAAAUCGGUGGAAAUUUGGCAAUGUUUCUGUACCAUUAACUAGUGCUAGUUUUAGUUAACUAUAAUUUUCUAUUGUAUUGAUUAUCUUAAUUUAUUCUGGAUUUGAUGGUUUCAUUUAAGAAAAACGGGAAUUAAUGUUAUCUAUGCUACAGGGAACAGGAUCCCCUCAAUUGGGCUUUA
Molecule: RNA transcript, 2780 nt
Organism: Quercus lobata
Lineage: Eukaryota; Viridiplantae; Streptophyta; Magnoliopsida; Fagales; Fagaceae
Gene name: RNA helicase family protein
Exons: 7
Source: RefSeq, a predicted model, not a curated record